GACGAACGCUGGCGGCGUGCCUAAUACAUGCAAGUUGAGCGCUGAAGGUUGGUACUUGUACCGACUGGAUGAGCAGCGAACGGGUGAGUAACGCGUGGGGAAUCUGCCUUUGAGCGGGGGACAACAUUUGGAAACGAAUGCUAAUACCGCAUAAAAACUUUAAACACAAGUUUUAAGUUUGAAAGAUGCAAUUGCAUCACUCAAAGAUGAUCCCGCGUUGUAUUAGCUAGUUGGUGAGGUAAAGGCUCACCAAGGCGAUGAUACAUAGCCGACCUGAGAGGGUGAUCGGCCACAUUGGGACUGAGACACGGCCCAAACUCCUACGGGAGGCAGCAGUAGGGAAUCUUCGGCAAUGGACGAAAGUCUGACCGAGCAACGCCGCGUGAGUGAAGAAGGUUUUCGGAUCGUAAAACUCUGUUGAUAGAGAAGAACGUUGGUGAGAGUGGAAAGCUCAUCAAGUGACGGUAACUACCCAGAAAGGGACGGCUAACUACGUG
RNAcentral lists this ribosomal RNA (497 nucleotides) under uncultured bacterium. RNAcentral's name for it is "partial 16S ribosomal RNA". It matches the Rfam family "Bacterial small subunit ribosomal RNA", at positions 28 to 507 of the family's 1533-position model. The record is from RNAcentral.